CAGUAGCCGCGGGAAUACGUAGGGUGCAAGCGUUAAUCGGAAUUACUGGGCGUAAAGCGUGCACAGGCGGCUAUGCAAGACAGAUGUGAAAUCCCCGGGCUCAACCUGGGAACUGCAUUUGUGACUGCACGGCUAGAGUACGGUAGAGGGGGAUGGAAUUCCGCGUGUAGCAGUGAAAUGCGUAGAUAUGCGGAGGAACACCGAUGGCGAAGGCAAUCCCCUGGACCUGUACUGACGCUCAUGCGCGAAAGCUAGGGGAGCGAACGGGAUUAGAUACCCCGGUAGUCCCUGUCUCUUAUAC
Molecule: ribosomal RNA, 301 nt
Filed under: uncultured bacterium
Lineage: Bacteria
Description: partial 16S ribosomal RNA
Rfam family: Bacterial small subunit ribosomal RNA
Source: RNAcentral